This is an RNA transcript of Zonotrichia albicollis (white-throated sparrow), 7478 nucleotides long. It is a transcript of the gene named lunapark, ER junction formation factor, with no coding region annotated. Lineage: Eukaryota; Metazoa; Chordata; Aves; Passeriformes; Passerellidae. The record is from RefSeq and is a predicted model, not a curated record.
GGCGCCGCGCUCCUCCUGCAGCGGCGUUGGCGGCGGGCGGGAUGCGCGGCCCGGCCCGCGGCAGCUGUGAAUUCUUGUAGAAGAUUGAUAGCUCUGCCAGCAUUUGUCCACAAUAGAAGAUGGGUGGAUUAAUUUCAAGAUGGAGGCAGGCAAAGCCUUCCACUGUAGAAGUAUUAGAGAAAAUAGAUAAGGAAAUACAGACAUUAGAAGAAUUUAGAGAAAAAAAUCAGAGGCUACAGAAACUAUGGGUUGGAAGGCUUCUUCUCUACUCCUCAGUUCUUUACCUUAUCACUUGCUUAAUUGUAUAUUUGUGGUGUCUUCCUGAUGAAUGGACAGCAAGGCUGACAAUGACGCUUCCAUUUUUUGCAUUUCCGUUCAUAAUCUGGUGUAUAAGAACUCUGCUAAUUUUUUUCUUUUCCAAACGGACAGAAAGAAAUAAUGAUGCGCUGGAAGAUUUAAAAUCCCAAAAGAAAAAAAUACUUGAGGAAGUAAUGGAAAAGGAAACCUACAAGAAUGCUAAACUAAUCCUUGAAAGGUUUGAUCCAGAAUCAAGUGCAAAGGACACUGAACUACCAUCUGCUGGAACAUCUGCAACCCCAAGACCUGGACAAGAAAUUCGUCAGAGGACUGCAGCUCAAAGAAAUGCUUCUGCACCCCCACCUGCAACUCCUAAACAAGGCUCUCCCAAGUCCCCUGUUCCAGCAUCUCCUACCCUGCAGAGAGAGGGCCCAGCUGUGAGCGGGCUCCCAGGAAGAGCUGCUGCGCCAUCCUUGCCAUCCAGCGUUUUACCACGGCACCCUGGAUCCCCUGCUACUUCAGUGCCUGGAAUGGGUCUUCAUCCUCCAGGCCCCCCUUUGGCAAGACCUGUUCUUCCUCGAGAAAGAGGAGUUGUGGAUAGAGUUAUUGAAUAUUUGGUUGGUGAUGGUCCUCAGAACAGGUAUGCCCUUAUAUGUCAGCAAUGUUUUUCUCACAAUGGUAUGGCUUUGAAGGAGGAGUUUGAAUACAUAGCAUUUAGAUGUGCCUACUGCUUCUUCCUGAAUCCUGCAAGAAAAACUAGACCUCAGGCUCCACGACUUCCAGACUUCAGUUUUGAAAAAAGGCCAACUACAGAAUUGCGAUCUCAAAUGGAGCCUCUGGAACCCAGAGAGAGAAGGCCCCAGGAGACUGAACAGGCAAAAGAAUCUGAAGAUGAUGGAGUCCGGCUCGUUGAGACAAAUGACACAGAUGAUAAAGCACCAAGUUCUGAGCAUCUAAAUGAUAAGCUAGCUGAAGAAGUCGAAAAAGAAGAAGCAGAAAACAUUUCAACAACUGAAGAGGCUAUUUCAGAGUCUACUUCAGCUGAACAAAGUGAAGAAUCUUUAAUAAAAGCAGAAUAAAAUACUUCAAGUGCCUUCUGUAGCUAGUUUUUAGCUUUGUUCAUGCCUGUUGUUACUAUUCAGAAGCUGGAUUUGUAGAAAACUCAAGCAACAAAGACCUUCCAGCUCUUCUCAAGUGCCCUCUAAUUCCUUGCAUCACUUCAAGGAGUUCUGCUCAGUUGAUGAAACUUAAUUUUUGACUUGUUCAGCACUCAAAAACAUUUUACAAAACCACCAAGAUAAUUCCUUUUUAAGAAAACUGUUUUGAAUUAUGUUUUAAAGGAAAUGUGAAAGUUAUUUCUUUAGGAAUGUUUGUACUUGCAUUUUUGUAAAGUGAGCUUUUAUUUAAGCAGGAGUACCUGUAUAUUUAUAGAUGCUAUUGUUGUAAUAGUAUUGUUGCAUUAGUAAAGGGUAUGUUUGUUUAUGUACUAUAAAUAUUAUCUUUAAUCAGAAAUAUUAUCUUUAAUCGUUCUAAUCCUAGAUGUAGCCUUGACUAUACAUCACCUGCAGUUGAAAUUUCAUUAAAAUCAAUGGCAAAAACAUUAAUUAGUGUGAAUUCUUAGGCUCUAAUAGACUUCCUGAAAUGUCUGUCUUAGCUUUUCUGCUUGUAAUUGAGAAAAUAUUUGAACUUGUGCCCCCCUUUUGAAAUUUACUAUUUUACCAAAUGAAGCAAAUUUUAAAGCAUAUGAAAUGAAAUUGCAUAGUUUGUUAUUUGAAUAUAUGCUGUCUUUGCUGUGUAUGUAAGUUGUUGAGGAAAAAACUGAUCAUGAAAAAGCUAUUUAUUUGCCUGAGCUUAAUUGAUGAUUUGAGGUGAUAAUUCUGUUUAAUAGUUCCUUCUGUGCUGGCUGUACUUAAUCAACUUGAGUUUUGUAGUUAUCUGGGUGUUUUUGAGAACCCCAUAUGUUCCCAAACAAGGAUGAGGGAGCCCCUGCCUCGUUAAUGCAGCCCCUGCCCCCCGGUUGGACUGGCAUAUGUAGGAGAAGAAAGUUGUUCAAGGUUGAGUAGUUUCUGAUAGGACCCAUUUGUCUGUGCUACAGCCAAUUGUGAGAACUCCUGGCUCAUGGCAUGAGCAGCCAGCUCUCCACCCUCAAAGGUCAGCCUGGCACAGGACUGCAAAAUUUUGUGUGUGCUGAGGUAGAGGCAGGAAAACCUGCCUUGACUCAGGAUUGAAAAUAUGUGGCAGCUUCAGAGAGAAUUGUGGAGUUGUGAAGGUGCUGACUUUGGCCCACGAUUCCAUAGACAUUUCAGGGUGGGUAUUGCAGCUUUUAUUGUAUCUAAAUGGUGAUUUAUGUCCUUAUUCCUCCAUUAUUGUCCACAAGGUACUGCCCUGUGUCACAGGCCUGUAUUACCUAGUUUUUUCAGACUGUUUCAUUUUCAUUAGCACAGCUGCUUUAGCUUGUGAUCAGUGUACUGCACCUCAUUGAUAAUCUAAGAGGGUAUUAGAGGCACAGAAGUGACGCGUAACCCUGUCAGUCUGGCUUGAUUGACCCCUUCCAAAACAUGGGUUCAUUUUUUUUUUAAAAUCCAAGUUAGCCUGCAUCCAUUUUCACACAGAUUCCGGGCAGUUUAAAGGUUGGUCAGAUUCGAAUAUUGCUCUUUCAAAUUUGAUAAUGUAUGAGUACAGAACUGUGACCUUUGAUACGUAGUAAUACAUCAACAUGACAUGAGCAGUAAGUGCAGCAAUUACCUUUGCUACACUUCAGAUUGUGUUUUAGUUCUCAUCUUGCAUGCAAUUAUUUCAGGAAAAAAGGAAUGCCUUUAAGUUAAAUAUUUUUUGCAAAUAGCAUAAGUGCAGAAAUUAAUUUCUGGGGACUUUCUGAUUUACAGGUAAAUGUUUUCAAAUUAAUCUUGGCUUUUAAAUUAUCAUUGUUUUAGUGGUAGAAAGAAGCCUGCUGCCAUUGGCUUUUAAAAUACUUUUAUUUUCUGAAAGAGUUUCUUUAAACAUUUUUGUUGUGUUCUAAUGUAAUCUAAAUUUCAUAUUCUAAUUUAUGGCCAAAGCCUGAUCCUGCAGGCAGUUGACAUGUCACUGUGUUCAUGUUGCUCCCAUGAUAAUACUCAUGAGUUGGUUAUGUGCAUGGUAAUAAUGCAAGUUUACAUGCUUUUAGGUGCCUUUCAGAACAUCAGAGCAUCUCAGACGUGUAUCACAUACUGAUUUAAGAGGCUGUUUUUAGGUGCCCCAGCAAUGUUUCAUCUUUUUUCUGAGCAGAUCAGGAUGCAUUUGGUUUGUUUCCAGAUGUUCUUUCUCACUUGUUGUUAUGAAUUAUUUGGAUAAUGAUUGUGCACAAGCACUACCUGGUAGUGCUAUAAAAACACAAAUCAGUACUCCUUGCCAAAGAGCAUAAGGCCUUGAGAGGACUGAUAGCGGUUGUGGCUUCUGUUCUGUGAGUUAAGAAUCAGAAUAAAAUUACUGUGUCAUUCUGGGCAAGCAAUUGAAUAACCAUUGGAUGGUGACUCUGUCACUGUUGUCUGUCACAACCUAAACUCAAAGGGAUAAUUUGAAGUAGGACUUCAUGUUCUUGUACGUGUCUCCUCAGCAGCCAAGCACUGAGGGGUGUUGGCAUGCCAAAGUUAGGCACUGAACUUUAAUUCAGGAGCUGGGGAAGUCCUUAUUUUGUUCUCUAUUGAGGUGAAAUCAACACCUUUUGGAAUGGCAUUCUUUAAACUGUUAAAAAUGUACAGCCCUAGUCCCCAAAACCAUUUGGUCAUUCUGGGGCACAGGAGGCAGGCUGAUGUGGAAUAGGGACUGAAAGGAGCCACUCUCUUCCAAACCUACCAAGUGCUGAGGGUGCUUUUGCUAGGCUGGCUUUGUCUUUUAAUUCCUGCCUGUGGAGGCUGCUCACUUGCUGUACGUGUGCACUUGUUAUAGAUUGAUAAAACUGAAAGCUUUUCUAAUGCAAUGGAAGGAAGGGUGUCUUUUUUUGCUCACUAUUUUGUAGCAAGUAGCUAUUGUGCUGUUGUUUGUCCCCAGGGAGUAAAAUCAAAACAAAUUUAUUAGAUGACCAUAGAACUUGCUCCUAAGCAGGGUCUUGACCAUACAAAUUGUUUUGCAAAGCCACAAGGAAGGUGCUACCUGGGGACAAUGUGCAACCGUGGUUUUGCUUUGUUUCUUGUUGCUUUUACCCUGUGCCACUUAAGGGCACUUGGGCCCUUAAUUCCUUUAAAAUAUGCAAAAAAAUAGAGUUGUUUUGUUACUGCCAUUAAAUUUUAAAUGCUUACAGCCAGUAGUAACUUACUUUGGGAAAAAACUACCCAGUCCACUUUGCUGCAGUGUUUUCCAUUAAAAAAUGUAAAUACUGUAUAUGUGGAAGUCUUAGGUCUAUGCUGCCGCCUUAGCAGGUGAUGACAGCUCAGUGGGGAAGUUUGUUUGGCAGCUGGGGCUCCAUGUUUGUAGAAAGUUCCUUAGGCUGAAAGGCUGCCCUUGUACAGGUAGGUGACUCUUGGUAGAGAAGUGAAUUUGUUACUUGACUACAAGUAAUAAGGGGAUAACAAUGGCAACUACUAAUAAUUGCAUGUUAUUAUUUGUUGAUUGUUAUUUGCUCAUUCUGAGUUUAUUAUUUCUGGUAACAACUCUGGCUUCUUUAGUUUUCUAUAUUGUAUAUUAUUAACCACUUUUUAAAAAAGAGUGACAACACUGAUAUUCCCCAACAGUAGCAUCUUUUUGAUAGUAUCUAUAAAAUAUUUCCUUUCAUAUUUUAGAGAAGGAGGUGAAGGUAAUAUUUUUUCCAUGAUUCAUACUAUAGCAGUAUGACUAGAAGUAUUUACUUUUCAGAAAUGCUAGGAUUUUUGUUUGUUUCAGCUAUUUGCCUAGAUCUAUGUGAUUUUGGAGCUUUUUAAAAAAUGGUGAAUGAUAGCCUGGUUGCAGAAUGUAUUUUCUUUUUAAGGCUUAUCUUAAAAGAAAAGACCUAGCAGGUUGCAAUGAUAAAAUCCUCCUGGAAGGAAUUGGUUGAAUUAUUGAAGAAAUGGUAGGCAGCUGAAAUUAUGGACACUUAAUGGAAAAUACUUGGCUAAGACUGUGCACAACAUCUUGUGAAUACUCCUGAUACAUCAUAAUAAGGCAUUAUGUUUGUCUAGUCAUGAAGUCUGAUCUAUUUGAUUUUAAAUCUCAGAUUGUGAGAUUGAUCUCUGAUUCUGAGUAAGUGUAAUGAUUCUGAGAGCUGGAAUAUUGUUUGCCAUUGUGAACCGUGCUGAAGGAUUCUCAGAAUGUAUAACAUAAUAGAUGCAAUUUUGUUUGAUUUUUUUGUUCCCUAGGCCAAUUUAAUUUUGAUUUAUUUGCCUCAUUAACCCAGAAAUUCAGAAAAUUGAAUGCUACCUGAUCGAGGUAUUAUUAACACUAGUGAAAUAUCUUCAAAUUCACUUCAUGCUUAUAAAUUAGUCUUUUGAAAGCAUUUUAAAGGCAUAAUGAUGCUGUAGUGAAAAUGUACAGCAUCAUUUAAAAAUUGCAAACUGCUUAUUUGAUUUCAGAAAUAAGACUUGGUCACCUGACUUAAAUAUAUACUGAUCUAUUAUUUAUGCUUUGAAAAUAGAGCUGAUAAAAAGCAUAAGUGUUCUUGAUAUUAUAUUUUGUCAUAUCUAGCUAAAAAGAUUGAAAUCCAGAGAAACAAUUUUCUGAAGAAAUGAAAUAGUAUGCCCUCCUGAACCCCUGGGGAAAAUAGCCUCUCUGUUUGCUCAGAAUACGAAGCAGUAAAACAGUAUAAGUAAAACAGACAGCCCAUGUCACAUUCCUAUUUGUACAGUCUGGAAUGAUGUUUUAAAAACAUUUUCUAGUUAUUUUUGAUAAAUAAAUGGCAAAAAUAACAUCUGCAAACCAACCCUGCUGAUGUAAGAUUUUUCAGAUCAGAUUUGUUUGUCAGUGAAAGUUCAGAAAAUUGCCUUGCAGAACUUAAGCUGUAUAACUCCCAAAAAUAUGCACACCAAAUGUGUAAGAAUAUAUUUUGUUGUCUUUUGCCCUUCCUUGGAGAAAAUAAUGCUGAUUCUCCAUUAUCUUUGCUUUUGGGCUUAGAAGGUAGCUUGAUAAAAAUAGAGGAAAUCAAUUAGGAUAUAAAAUCGCAUGUUUAUGAAGUGUUAAAUAGCUCUAAGUUCAUAUUCACAGUGGAGCAUGCAGCUAUGUAUUUGGAAUAGUGUAUUCUGGUUAAAGCUCUGAGAUUUCCCCCUGAGCCAGUACUGCUGCACUGCAAACUUGGCUUAGUGCUUGUAAGAUCCUUGCUCAGGCGCUGCUCCCACCUCUGGCCAGGUGUGACAAGGACAGAUGGGCGGUGUCUGGCUGUUGCUCCCUUCAGGUGCUGCCAAAGGCUGCCACACUGGGGCUGAAGAGAAGGUCCUCCAGAAAUUGUGGCUUUCAGAAAUGCACUCUUCAGUUCAAGGAUGCUGCUGCCACUCUAAUUUCCAUCACUGGCAUAAUAGCUGAGAUGGAAAAACAUUCCUUGGGCAGCAGGAUUGAGAAACCUGAUGUCAUGGCUCUACCAAUGCCUGGUUAUCCAGGACUGGCUAAGGAAGGUGUGUCUGUACAUCUUCCAAAACAUGGUUUGUUGGGGUAAUGUCCUUUCAGCUGCAUUUGAGUAAUAAAUGUCUUAUGACUGUUGGUAUGCUUUGGACUUUAGUGCCUUGAAGAGUUGCUUAAAAUCAGCUUUAAUUUUAUUUUUGUAAAUGGACUCCAUCUCAGACUAAAUUCUGUGAUACGUCCACAGAAAAAUAAGGCAUGUAUUUUUCAUUAAGUAUGUGUUUAAUAGUGACCAACCCCCCACCCCCUUUUUCUUUUAUUUUUUCAGUCUUUAAAAAAAUAAUGAUUUAAUAAACUCUUCUCUCUGAGUUUAUACUAGGCUGGAAUAUUACCUGUUAUUUUAAUACCUGAACAAAAGAUGGGGUUUACCAGGCUAAUAAUAUUUGAUUACAAUAAUUCUCCCUCCAUUGAAUGAAAAAAGGCUUGGCUAGGGAGUUUUUGUAAGGAUCAGGGCUAGAAUUCUAGAACAGGUAAUUUUUGUGUUCUGUUUGCAUGUGUUCACUAUUGUAUAUAAUCAUAGUGGUGAUAACUGGCACACUGAAUAAGCUGAAUGUUUGUUUCUCUACAGCAGGUAUAAGAAGGAAUGAACAUGGUAAUGCUAAGUUCUAAAUCCAAGCACUUCUGAU